CCCUUAGAUGUUCGGGGCCGCACGCGCGCUACACUGAAUGAAUCAGCGAGUGUAUGUCCUAGGCCGAAAGGUCCGGGUAACCCGUUGAACCUCAUUCGUGAUUGGGAUAGGGACUUGCAAUUGUUUCCCUUGAACGAGGAAUUCCCAGUAAGCGCAAGUCAUCAGCUUGCGUUGAUUACGUCCCUGCCCUUUGUACACACCGCCCGUCGCUACUACCGAUUGGGUGUGCUGGUGAAAUGUUCGGAUCGGCCGUUUGUCGCGGUUUCCGCGUCAUGUGGCUGAGAAGUUCAUUAAACCCUCCCACCUAGAGGAAGGAGAAGUCGUAACA
Molecule: ribosomal RNA, 328 nt
Filed under: uncultured eukaryote
Lineage: Eukaryota
Description: partial 18S ribosomal RNA
Rfam family: Eukaryotic small subunit ribosomal RNA
Source: RNAcentral